This is a long non-coding RNA of Anopheles stephensi (Asian malaria mosquito), 703 nucleotides long. RefSeq lists it as uncharacterized. The record is from RefSeq and is a predicted model, not a curated record. NCBI's taxonomy places the organism in Eukaryota, Metazoa, Arthropoda, Insecta, Diptera, Culicidae. The transcript has 3 exons.
GGUGGUGGUGGUGGUGGUGGUGGUGGUGGUGGUGGUCACAGAUGGCCUUGGCACUAGCCGUAUGUUCGUGGCUGGCAAAGAAAUAUGAUGGAAUUAUGCAUUUAAACUCCGCAGUGAAGCGCAAGUGUUUUUCCUUUUCUCUCGCCGUUGUGUUUGCUAGCUUUGUUGGCGGCGACAUCUUUUGGUUUGUUUUUAUCGUUAAUCUUCUGCUGCUUCGCUCGCGGAUGAAGCACGACGCGUCUGAACGAUCGCGGAUGUUGAUGAUGAGUAAUUGUGCGUCGUGUGUGAUUAGACGGUGUUGUGGGUUUGGUUGGAGCGUGUGUUAUACCAGACAGAUAUUAUGGUUGACGAUUAACACAAAAUAAAAAUUUGGCUUUAAACUCAUAGAAAUGCUUUGUUUUGUACGUGAUUUAUGUGAUAUGUGUGAAUGAAUUGUACAUUUUGCUACCAUGCGCCUUUUAUUUCUGAAGAAAAUUUAAACCAUCAAAUAGAGACGUAUGCCAAGAAUGCAGCAAGUUUAAAUUUGGUUCAAGAGACAGAACUUCCGUGUGGCUGGUAAAGAAUGCCCCGGUCUCGCCAUCCACGUCUAAGUCGAACAAUCAGCAAAGAUCAGUGGUUGAAGGUGCUUGAAAGUCCAAGAAGAGAGAGAGUGAAAAAAAAACAUUCUAGACUUGCUAAUCAAAAGCUUUAUUAUUUAUUUCCG